AUACGGAGGAUCCGAGCGUUAUCCGGAUUUAUUGGGUUUAAAGGGUGCGCAGGCGGCCAUUUAAGUCAGCGGUUAAAUCGUGGGGCUCAACCCCAUUCUGCCGUUGAUACUGGGUGGCUUGAUUGCGGUCGAGGUUGGCGGAAUUCGUUGUGUAGCGGUGAAAUGCAUAGAUAUGACGAAGAACACCGAUUGCGUAGGCAGCUGACCAGACCGCAAAUGACGCUCAUGCACGAAAGUGCGGGGAUCGAACAGGAUUAGAUACCCUGGUAGUCCGCACAGUAAACGAUGAAUACUUGUUUUCGGCGAUAUAAUGUCGGAGGCAAAGCGAAAGCGAUAAGUAUCCCACCUGGGGAGUACGCCGGCAACGGUGAAACUCAAAUGAAUUGGCGGGG
This 392-nucleotide ribosomal RNA is filed under the name uncultured bacterium. Its description in RNAcentral is "partial 16S ribosomal RNA". It matches the Rfam family "Bacterial small subunit ribosomal RNA", at positions 523 to 918 of the family's 1533-position model. The record is from RNAcentral.